RNAcentral lists this ribosomal RNA (265 nucleotides) under uncultured prokaryote. RNAcentral's name for it is "partial 16S ribosomal RNA". It matches the Rfam family "Bacterial small subunit ribosomal RNA", at positions 524 to 788 of the family's 1533-position model. The record is from RNAcentral.
UACGGAGGAUGCGAGCGUUAUCCGGAUUUAUUGGGUUUAAAGGGUGCGCAGGCGGGAGAUUAAGUCGGCGGUGAAAUUUUGCAGCUCAACUGUAAAAGUGCCUUCGAAACUGGUUUCCUUGAGUGUAGAUGAAGUAGGCGGAAUUUGUGGUGUAGCGGUGAAAUGCAUAGAUAUCACGAGGAACUCCGAUCGCGCAGGCAGCUUACUAAACUACUACUGACGCUCAGGCACGAAGGCGUGGGGAUCAAACAGGAUUAGAUACCCU